Molecule: ribosomal RNA, 508 nt
Filed under: uncultured bacterium
Lineage: Bacteria
Description: partial 16S ribosomal RNA
Rfam family: Bacterial small subunit ribosomal RNA
Source: RNAcentral
AUUGAACGCUGGCGGCAUGCCUUACACAUGCAAGUCGAACGGCAGCGGGGGAGAAGCUUGCUUUUCCUGCCGGCGAGUGGCGAACGGGUGAGUAAUACAUCGGAACAUGCCCUGUAGUGGGGGAUAACUAGUCGAAAGAUUAGCUAAUACCGCAUACGACCUGAGGGUGAAAGUGGGGGACCGCAAGGCCUCAUGCUAUAGGAGCGGCCGAUGUCUGAUUAGCUAGUUGGUGGGGUAAAGGCCUACCAAGGCGACGAUCAGUAGCUGGUCUGCGAGGACGAUCAGCCACACUGGGACUGAGACACGGCCCAGACUCCUACGGGAGGCAGCAGUGGGGAAUUUUGGACAAUGGGCGAAAGCCUGAUCCAGCAAUGCCGCGUGUGUGAAGAAGGCCUUCGGGUUGUAAAGCACUUUUGUCCGGAAAGAAAUGGCUCUGGUUAAUACCUGGGGUCGAUGACGGUACCGGAAGAAUAAGGACCGGCUAACUACGUGCCAGCCGCCGCAGUAA